UAGGGAAUCUUCGGCAAUGGGGGGAACCCUGACCGAGCAACGCCGCGUGAGUGAAGAAGGUUUUCGGAUCGUAAAGCUCUGUUGUAAGAGAAGAACGGGUGUGAGAGUGGAAAGUUCACACUGUGACGGUAUCUUACCAGAAAGGGACGGCUAACUACGUGCCAGCAGCCGCGGUAAUACGUAGGUCCCGAGCGUUGUCCGGAUUUAUUGGGCGUAAAGCGAGCGCAGGCGGUUAGAUAAGUCUGAAGUUAAAGGCUGUGGCUUAACCAUAGUAUGCUUUGGAAACUGUUUAACUUGAGUGCAGAAGGGGAGAGUGGAAUUCCAUGUGUAGCGGUGAAAUGCGUAGAUAUAUGGAGGAACACCGGUGGCGAAAGCGGCUCUCUGGUCUGUAACUGACGCUGAGGCUCGAAAGCGUGGGGAGCAAACAGGAUUGGAUACCCUGGUAGUCCACGCCGUAAACGAUGAGUGCUAGGUGUUAGGCCCUUUCCGGGGCUUAGUGCCGCAGCUAACGCAUUAAGCACUCCGCCUGGGGGAGUACNACCGCAAGGUUGAAGCUUAAAGGAAUUGACGGGGGUCAUAGCUGUUUCCUG
Molecule: ribosomal RNA, 590 nt
Filed under: uncultured bacterium
Lineage: Bacteria
Description: partial 16S ribosomal RNA
Rfam family: Bacterial small subunit ribosomal RNA
Source: RNAcentral